RNAcentral lists this ribosomal RNA (494 nucleotides) under uncultured bacterium. RNAcentral describes it as "partial 16S ribosomal RNA". It matches the Rfam family "Bacterial small subunit ribosomal RNA", at positions 30 to 523 of the family's 1533-position model. The record is from RNAcentral.
AUUGAACGCUGGCGGCAUGCUUUACACAUGCAAGUCGAACGGUAACAGGUUAAGCUGACGAGUGGCGAACGGGUGAGUAAUGCAUCGGGACGUGCCCGAUCGUGGGGGAUAACACUUCGAAAGAAGUGCUAAUACCGCAUACGAUCUGAGGAUGAAAGCGGGGGACCGUAAGGCCUCGCGCGAUCGGAGCGGCCGAUGUCAGAUUAGGUAGUUGGUGGGGUAAAGGCUCACCAAGCCGACGAUCUGUAGCUGGUCUGAGAGGAUGAUCCGACACACUGGGACUGAGACACGGCCGAGACUCCUACGGGAGGCAGCAGUGGGGAAUAUUGGACAAUGGGGGGAACCCUGAUCCAGCCAUGCCGCGUGUGUGAAGAAGGCCUUAUGGUUGUAAAGCAGUUUAAGCGAGGAGGAGGCUCUUUUGGUUAAUACCCAAGAUGAGUGGACGUUACUCGCAGAAUAAGCACCGGCUAACUCUGUGCCAGCCGCCGCGGUAA